This 259-nucleotide ribosomal RNA is filed under the name Gilliamella sp. Nev3-1. Its description in RNAcentral is "partial 23S ribosomal RNA". It matches the Rfam family "Bacterial large subunit ribosomal RNA", at positions 2674 to 2925 of the family's 2925-position model. The record is from RNAcentral. Lineage: Bacteria; Pseudomonadati; Pseudomonadota; Gammaproteobacteria; Orbales; Orbaceae.
GCUUCUAGUACGAGAGGACCGAAGUGAACGCACCGCUGGUGUUCGGGUUGUGAUGCCAAUUGCAUUGCCCGGUAGCUACGUGCGGAAUAGAUAAGUGCUGAAAGCAUCUAAGUACGAAACUAGCCUUGAGAUGAGUUUUCCCUGAAGAGAUUCAGUAAGGUCCGUUUGAGACUAAGACGUAGAUAGGUCAGGUGUGUAAGUGUAGUGAUACAUUGAGCUAACUGAUACUAAUGAACCGAGAGUCUUAACCUUACAACUC